CCUGGCGAGGUUAAGCACUUUAGUUGCGGAGCCGUAGCGAAAGCAAGUCCAAAUAGGGCGAAUAGUCAGUGGGGGUAGACGCGAAACUUUGUGAUCUAUCCAUGGGCAGGUUGAAGGUGUGUAGCACACACUGGAGGACCGAACUCAUGAGCGUUGAAAAGCUCUGAGAUGACCUGUGGAUAGGGGUGAAAGGCCAAUCAAACUGAGAGAUAGCUCGUUCUCCCCGAAAUGUUUUUAGGAACAGCCUCGGAUAAUAGACGUUUAGCACAGGUAGAGCUACUGAUUGGGCUAGGGGGCUUCACCGCCUACCAAACCCUGACAAACUCCGAAUGGUGCUAAAUAUCUCCGGGAGUGAGGCUGCGGGCGAUAAGGUCCGUGGCCGAGAGGGAAAUAACCCAGAUUAGCAACUAAGGUCCCUAAUACAUGGUUAAGUUGAUCAAACGAGGUGGGAUUUCUAUAACAGCCAGGAUGUUGGCUUGGAAGCAGCCACUCAUUUAAAGAGUGCGUAACAGCUCACUGGUCGAGAGAUCCUGCACGGAAAAUAAUCGGGCAUCAAACCAUGAACCGAAGUUCUAAGAUUGCUACUACGUAGUAUAUCGGUAGGGGAGCAUUGAAAUCUGCUGCGAAGGUGACUGGCGAUGGUUGCUGGAGCGAUUUCAAAAGAAAAUGUAGGCAUAAGUAACGAUAAUUAAUGUGAAAAACAUUAACGCCGUAAACCCAAGGUUUCCUGAUCAAUGUUAAUCAGAUCAGGGUUAGUCGGGUCCUUAGGCAAACCCGAAAGGGGUAGCUGAUGGCAAGUUGGUUAAUAUUCCAACACCUGCUUAUACUUCGAUGGGGUGACGGGGUAGUGAAAGAUCCGCGUUCUUACGGAAUAGAACGUUAAAGGGUGUAGAUAUAGGUUGUGUAGGCAAAUCCGCACGACUUGUCGAACCUGAUAGUACAGCAAAGCUUCGGCAGCGCUGAUAGUGAUCCUAAUCAUACCUCCGAGAAAAACCUCUAAGUUAUGGUGUAAGCAGCCCGUACCGUAAACCGACACAGGUGGGUGGGAUGAAUAUUCUAAGGCGCUCGGGUGAGCCGUGGAGAAGGAACUAGGCAAAUUGACGCUGUAACUUCGGGAUAAAGCGUACCGUCUUCGGACGGUCUCAGUAAAAUGGUUCAACCAACUGUUUAGCAAAAACACAGGGCCCUGCAAAAUCGAAAGAUGACGUAUAGAGCCUUAUACCUGCCCGGUGCUGGAAGGUUAAGGAAGGAUGUUCGACGCAAGUCAAAGCUUCUGACUGAAGCCCCAGUAAACGGCGGCCGUAACUAUAACGGUCCUAAGGUAGCGAAAUUCCUUGUCGGGUAGGUUCCGACCUGCACGAAUGGUCUAAUGAGUUGAACACUGUCUCCUCCACGAGCUAAA
Molecule: ribosomal RNA, 1402 nt
Filed under: metagenome
Description: bacterial LSU rRNA
Rfam family: Bacterial large subunit ribosomal RNA
Source: RNAcentral